AGAGUUUGAUCAUGGCUCAGAUUGAACGCUAGCGGCAUGCUUAACACAUGCAAGUCGAACGGUAACAGGACUAGCUUGCUAGUCGCUGACGAGUGGCGGACGGGUGAGUAACGCGUAGGAAUCUGCCUCAUAGUGGGGGAUAACCCGGGGAAACUCGGGCUAAUACCGCAUAAUCUCUACGGAGCAAAGCGGGGGACCUU
Molecule: ribosomal RNA, 200 nt
Filed under: uncultured bacterium
Lineage: Bacteria
Description: partial 16S ribosomal RNA
Rfam family: Bacterial small subunit ribosomal RNA
Source: RNAcentral